UGACAGUACUCCUACGGGGAGCAGCAGUGGGGGAAUAUUGCACAAUGGGCGCAAGCCUGAUGCAGCCAUGCCGCGUGUAUGAAGAAGGCCUUCGGGUUGUAAAGUACUUUCAGCAGUGAGGAAGGUAUCGUAGUUAAUAGCUGCGGUAUUUGACGUUAGCUGCAGAAGAAGCACCGGCUAACUCCGUGCCAGCAGCCGCGGUAAUACGGAGGGUGCGAGCGUUAAUCGGAAUUACUGGGCGUAAAGCGCAUGCAGGUGGUUUGUUAAGUCAGAUGUGAAAGCCCGGGGCUCAACCUCGGAAUUGCAUUUGAAACUGGCAGACUAGAGUACUGUAGAGGGGGGUAGGAAUUUCAGGUGUAGCGGUGAAAUGCGUAGAGAUCUGAAGGAAUACCGGUGGCGAAGGCGGCCCCCUCGGACAGAUACUGACACUCAGAUGCGAAAGCGUGGGGAGCAAACAGGAUUAGAUACCCUGGUAG
RNAcentral lists this ribosomal RNA (476 nucleotides) under uncultured bacterium. RNAcentral's name for it is "bacterial SSU rRNA". It matches the Rfam family "Bacterial small subunit ribosomal RNA", at positions 328 to 793 of the family's 1533-position model. The record is from RNAcentral.